This is a non-coding RNA of Pelobates cultripes (western spadefoot toad), 641 nucleotides long. NCBI's taxonomy places the organism in Eukaryota, Metazoa, Chordata, Amphibia, Anura, Pelobatidae. The record is from the annotation of a GenBank genome assembly.
CUUAUGUGAUGUGCAAAUACAUAAUUAGUAAGGAAAAUAGGGUUGUAAGCAACGACAAAUGCUAGAAUAAUCUUAUUAGUAUUAGCAGCACAUAUAACUACACUGCUUAAAAUGAACAAGACUGAAUGAGGUUUACCAAUAGCAAGUAAACUGUAUAAAUAUGAUAAUGAAAGUAAUAGGAAUAACUGAGCUGGCCUAACGUGGUUAAAUACGAUCGAAACUUUUAGUGUAACAGUUAAAACAUGUGGCCAAGUUCAGCCGAAAUGCAAACCGUGUCUAAAAUACGGAUGAGGUUGUGCUGUAUAAGGAAACCUAAGUGGUUGAACAAGGACCAGAUGCCUGGGAAGGUGUUAAAAGGAUAUGCCUUGUAGGCUGAAUAUGGUCUUAGCGGACUACAUAGCACAACAUGCAUUAAUGUGAGGUUAGCAACGGUCAAAUUGAAUACCAGUACAAUGUAUGUGUACAUUUCUUUGCACAUUAGUUAAAUGCACUUUACUGAAUAUAUUAUCAUCAUUGGCAAAAAUUAAUUGUUCUGUAUUCUGUAAAAAUCUUCUAUUCCAUGUCUAAAUAUGUCUCCAUGGAAACACACAAUGACAUGGACACAUGGAAGGAAUGCAUGGCUCCUUGGAACCAGAAGUGAC